Molecule: unclassified non-coding RNA, 263 nt
Organism: Papio anubis (olive baboon)
Lineage: Eukaryota; Metazoa; Chordata; Mammalia; Primates; Cercopithecidae
Rfam family: Metazoan signal recognition particle RNA
About the family: The signal recognition particle (SRP) is a universally conserved ribonucleoprotein.
Source: Ensembl
GCCGGGCAGGGUGGCAUGUGCCUGUAAUCCCAGCUACUUGGGAGGCUGAGGCAGGGAAUCAUUUGAACCUGGGACGUGGAGGUUGCAGUGAGCCAAGAUCGUGCUACUGCACUCCCGCCUGGGCAACAGAGUGAAAAUUUUUAUUUAUUUAUUUAUGUUUUUGAAACAGAGUCUCACUCUGUUGCCCAGGCUGGAGUGCAGUGGCGUGAUCUGGGCUCACUGCAACCUCCACCUCCUGGGUUCAAGCGAUUCUCCUGCCUCAG